This 511-nucleotide long non-coding RNA is filed under the name Mus pahari (shrew mouse). RNAcentral's name for it is "lncRNA (MGP_PahariEiJ_G0002737.1)". The record is from RNAcentral. Lineage: Eukaryota; Metazoa; Chordata; Mammalia; Rodentia; Muridae.
GCGGCCGCUACGUCAGCGCCCCGGGUGGCGCCGCCUCCGCCCGCCGGCCUGGGCCCCGCUCCCGCCGCCGGGAAGGCGGGCCGCGGUAGAAGCUGGGGGCUGCCUUGCUUCCUCGUACGAUCCGGUGAACUUUCCCGAUGCUCCGGCAAAAGUCAGGGGACCCGAGAGUGAACUGUUGUAGGACACAGCUUACCUGGCAUUGGUGCCGCCCAGGACCCCUUAUUACAACCCAUUGACCCCCAGACCUUAGGAGCGGAGGACAGUCCAGUCUGUAAGUCAGCUGUGUUCCUGGGGCCCGUGGAGGAUAGAAGAGAGCGUCAGAUCUUCUUAGGCUGGAGACACAGACUCUUGUGAGCUGCCCUGUGAGUGCCGGGACUUGAACCUGGGUCGUCUUGAACAGCAGCCAAAUACUUUUAACUCCUGAGCCAUCACUUCAGCAUCUCCUCCACUCCUUCUUUAAAACAGUCUCUUGUAGCCAUAACUGAAAACUACCUUGAAGCCUGAAUCCUCC